Molecule: ribosomal RNA, 497 nt
Filed under: uncultured bacterium
Lineage: Bacteria
Description: partial 16S ribosomal RNA
Rfam family: Bacterial small subunit ribosomal RNA
Source: RNAcentral
GAUGAACGCUGGCGGCGUGCCUAAUACAUGCAAGUCGAGCGAACAGAUGAGGAGCUUGCUCCUCUGACGUUAGCGGCGGACGGGUGAGUAACACGUGGAUAAACUACCUAUAAGACUGGGAUAACUUCGGGAAACCGGAGCUAAUACCGGAUAAUAUAUUGAACCGCAUGGUUCAAUAGUGAAAGACGGUUUUGCUGUCACUUAUAGAUGGAUCCGCGCCGCAUUAGCUAGUUGGUAAGGUAACGGCUUACCAAGGCAACGAUGCGUAGCCGACCUGAGAGGGUGAUCGGCCACCCUGGAUCUGAGGCACGGUCCAGACUCCUACGGGAGGCAGCAGCAGGGAAUCCUCCGCAAGGCGCCAAAGCUUGACGGAGCAACGCCGCUUGAGUGAUGAAGGUCUUCGUAUCGUAAAACUCUGUUAUUUGGGAAUGACAAAUGUGUAAGUAACUAUGCGCAUCUUGACGGUACCUUGUCAGAAAGCCACGGCUAACUACGGG